RNAcentral lists this ribosomal RNA (492 nucleotides) under uncultured bacterium. Its description in RNAcentral is "partial 16S ribosomal RNA". It matches the Rfam family "Bacterial small subunit ribosomal RNA", at positions 29 to 507 of the family's 1533-position model. The record is from RNAcentral.
AGUGAACGCUGGCGGUAGGCCUAACACAUGCAAGUCGAGCGGCAGCACAGUAAGAGCUUGCUCUUACGGGUGGCGAGUGGCGGACGGGUGAGGAAUACAUCGGAAUCUACUUUUUCGUGGGGGAUAACGUAGGGAAACUUACGCUAAUACCGCAUACGACCUACGGGUGAAAGCAGGGGAUCUUCGGACCUUGCGCGAUUGAAUGAGCCGAUGUCGGAUUAGCUAGUUGGCGGGGUAAAGGCCCACCAAGGCGACGAUCCGUAGCUGGUCUGAGAGGAUGAACACCCACAUGGGAACGGAGACCGGGUCCAGCCUCCUAGGGGGGGAGGCGGGGGGGAAUUUGGAACAAGGGGCCAAGGCGUAACCCGGCAAACCCGGGGGGGGAAAGAGGCCUUUCGGUUUGUAAACCCUUUUUGUGGGAAAAGAAAAGCAGCGGUUUAUUACCCCGCUUUUCUGCGGGUACCAAAAAAAUAAGCCCCGGCUAACUUCGUG